GACGAACGCUGGCGGCGUGCUUAACACAUGCAAGUCGAGCGGUAAGGCCCUUUCGGGGGUACACGAGCGGCGAACGGGUGAGUAACACGUGGGUGACCUGCCUUUAGCUCUGGGAUAAGCCUGGGAAACUGGGUCUAAUACCGGAUAUGACUCCGCGGUGCAUGCUGUGGGGUGAAAGCCUUGUGCGGCUGGAGAUGGGGCCCGCGGCCUAUCAGCUUGGUUGGUGGGGUGAUGGCCUACCAAGGCGACGACGGGUAGCCGGCCUGAGAGGGCGACCGGCCACACUGGGACUGAGACACGGCCCAGACUCCUACGGGAGGCAGCAGGUGGGGAAUCUUGCGCAAUGGGCGAAAGCCUGAUCCAGCGAUGCCGCGUGUGUGAAGAAGGCCU
Molecule: ribosomal RNA, 390 nt
Filed under: uncultured bacterium
Lineage: Bacteria
Description: bacterial SSU rRNA
Rfam family: Bacterial small subunit ribosomal RNA
Source: RNAcentral